RNAcentral lists this ribosomal RNA (253 nucleotides) under uncultured bacterium. RNAcentral's name for it is "partial 16S ribosomal RNA". It matches the Rfam family "Bacterial small subunit ribosomal RNA", at positions 524 to 776 of the family's 1533-position model. The record is from RNAcentral.
UACGAAGGGGGCUAGCGUUGCUCGGAAUCGCUGGGCGUAAAGGGUGCGUAGGCGGGUCUUUAAGUCAGGGGUGAAAUCCUGGAGCUCAACUCCAGAACUGCCUUUGAUACUGAAGAUCUUGAGUUCGGGAGAGGUGAGCGGAACUGCGAGUGUAGAGGUGAAAUUCGUAGAUAUUCGCAAGAACACCAGUGGCGAAGGCGGCUCACUGGCCCGAUACUGACGCUGAGGCACGAAAGCGUGGGGAGCAAACAGG